This 743-nucleotide long non-coding RNA is filed under the name Manacus vitellinus (golden-collared manakin). RNAcentral describes it as "lncRNA (ENSMVIG00005006685.1)". The record is from RNAcentral. Lineage: Eukaryota; Metazoa; Chordata; Aves; Passeriformes; Pipridae.
CAGAUUCACUGUGAUGAAAUGCAGAGGUAUUGGAUAAUCAGCGUGUAUCAAACAGCUUUGGAUUGUUUUACCUGCAUUCUGCCUGUUCCUUCCGCCUGUUUAUUUAUAACAUGUCUGCACUUCUGUGGGAUUCCAUGAAAAAAGUCAUAGUAGCAACAAAGAUUUCACUGGUCCCCCCAGUGUGCACCAAACUGCCCCUGGCUUGGAGUGCAGGAUGAACACCUUCCUGCAGUGCAGACAGCCCUGUCCUUGCAGAGUAUGGACUAGGGACAGAUUGCAGCUUUUUGGUGUAACCCUCACGAAGCUGAACUUUCCAGCAUUGAAACCAAGAGCCAAAGAAGCCCAGCAGAGGAAAGGAGGAGAAGAACACAUGAAAGGCUGUAAGGAUGGGAGACAAAGUGCUGUGGGUAUUCCUGCAUUGAGUGAUGUCUCCUGGAAGCAGAAUCAGAUGUUUGCCAGUCUCAUGUCACUCUGCUGUUGAUGGAUGAGACCUUCACCCUGGCUGCUCAUGCUGGUGUUUCAUCUGCUCAGUUCUGGCAUGGUGGAUGGAGCUGAAGUGUAUUGAGGGGUUCUUAACUCUUACAAUAAUAGUAAUUAAAUGUAAUAUUAAAGGCUGGGGACUCUAAACCGGAUAUCAGCUACCCUUGUGGUAAAGCUUGACCCAGUCUCUGCCAAGGGACUGUUUCCAUACACUGUUUAAAGGGCAAGAUAAACCAGAGUAAAUAAAUAACUCCUUUGAAUCA